UCAGGAUGAACGCUAGCUACAGGCUUAACACAUGCAAGUCGAGGGGUAGCAGGGUAGCAAUACCGCUGACGACCGGCGCACGGGUGAGUAACACGUAUCCAACCUUCCCAUAACUCAGGGAUAGCCUUUCGAAAGAAAGAUUAAUACCUGAUAGUACUUUUUCAAGGCAUCUUGAAAAAGUUAAAGAUUUAUUGGUUAUGGAUGGGGAUGCGUUCCAUUAGAUAGUGGUGAGGUAACGGCUCACCAAGUCUUCGAUGGAUAGGGGGUUCUGAGAGGAAGGUCCCCCACAUUGGUACUGAGACACGGACCAAACUCCUACGGGAGGCAGCAGUGAGGAAUAUUGGUCAAUGGGCGAGAGCCUGAACCAGCCAAGUAGCGUGAAGGAAUGAAGGUCCUAUGGAUUGUAAACUUCUUUUAUAGUAGAAUAAAGUGAGCCACGUGUGGUUUUUUGUAUGUAUACUAUGAAUAAGGAUCGGCUAACUCCGUGCCAGCAGCCGC
RNAcentral lists this ribosomal RNA (498 nucleotides) under uncultured bacterium. Its description in RNAcentral is "bacterial SSU rRNA". It matches the Rfam family "Bacterial small subunit ribosomal RNA", at positions 24 to 518 of the family's 1533-position model. The record is from RNAcentral.